This 207-nucleotide ribosomal RNA is filed under the name uncultured bacterium. RNAcentral's name for it is "partial 16S ribosomal RNA". It matches the Rfam family "Bacterial small subunit ribosomal RNA", at positions 568 to 774 of the family's 1533-position model. The record is from RNAcentral.
CGCGUAGGCGGUUCGGUAAGUUGCUGGUGAAAUCCCGGGGCCCAACUCCGGGGCUGCCGGCACGACUGCCGGACUUGAGCACGGUAGGGGCAGAUGGAAUUCCCGGUGCAGCGGUGGAAUGCGUAGAGAUCGGGAAGAAUACCAGUGGCGAAGGCGUUCUGCCGGGCCGUUGCUGACGCUGAUGCGCGACAGCGUGGGGAGCAAACA